GCACUGUUCACAAGUAAUCAUUUAUUUCUAAUCUCUAUUCGUGGGAUUUGGAGAAAAAUAAGUAGCACUACACGAAGAACACUAACGCACACCUCAAUCGUACAGCACGUUGAUGAUGCCCGCCCCUUCACAGCAAUUACGUAUUACCAUAACACAAAUAGAAUACUUAGUAAGUAUACUAAACAAGGGAAAUAUAAAAUGGCCCUCAGGAGAGGUACUAAUAUGUUUAACAUGCUACGAAAUGAUAAAAGCAAAAUCCCAGAGACCAAGAAGUCAGGAGUGUAUACCAUCCCCCUGUAUAACCUGGAUGACAAUGAACAACAAUACUAUAUAGGAAGCACAAGCC
RNAcentral lists this long non-coding RNA (346 nucleotides) under Androctonus crassicauda. Lineage: Eukaryota; Metazoa; Arthropoda; Arachnida; Scorpiones; Buthidae. The record is from RNAcentral.